RNAcentral lists this ribosomal RNA (1290 nucleotides) under Adineta ricciae. RNAcentral describes it as "eukaryotic LSU rRNA". It matches the Rfam family "Eukaryotic large subunit ribosomal RNA", at positions 1083 to 2281 of the family's 3401-position model. The record is from RNAcentral. Lineage: Eukaryota; Metazoa; Rotifera; Eurotatoria; Adinetida; Adinetidae.
UUUUCUACUUCAUUGAGAAUGAACAGCGAAUGUGAGUGCCAAGUGGGCCAUUUUUGGUAAGCAGAACUGGCGCUGUUGGAUGCACAAAACGUCAAGAUAAAGAGCCAGAUGGUCUCGCUCAUCAGAUACCAUAAAAGGUGUUGGUCGAUAUAGACAGCAGGACGGUGGCCAUGGAAGUCGGAAUCCGUUAAGGAGUGUGUAACAACUCACCUGCCGAAUCGACUAGUCCUAAAAAUGGAUGGCGCUCGAGCGAGCCUCUUAUACUUGACUGUUACGAUACAAUAAGCCAUUAACGGACAUCAUGUCGUAACAAGUAGGACGGUUGAUAUGGUUGCGUCGAAGGCUAACACGUGAGUGUGGCUUGAGCAGUCAUAUGUACAGAUCUUAGUGGUAGUAGCAACUAUUCAAAUGAGAACUUUGAAGACUGACGUGGAGAAAGGUUCCAUGUGAACAGCUAUUGGACAUGGGUCAGUCAGUCCUAAGAUGCGCUCGAAAGAGGGUUCCGAACGAGGAAUAUCUAUAUUCAUUUUUAUUCCAUCAAAUCGAAAGGGAAACAAGUUAAUAUUCUUGUACUAAGUGUCGGAGAUUGUUUGAUUUCGUGUCAAACAUAUGUGGUAACACAAACAAGCUCAAAUACAUCACAAGUGGUCCUGGAAAGAGUUUUCUCUUCUUUGUUACUUCAUCAGACGACCCUGGAAUCAGUUCAACUGGAGAUAGGGUUCAAAUGAAGGUAAAGAGUAGCCGUUCUUGCUACUUCCUCGGUGCAUCAUUUGUGAUCCUUGAAAAUUUGAGCGAGAUAGUCAAUUUCGCACUUAUCUGUACUCUAAACCGCAUCAGGUCUCCAAGGUGAAAAGCCUCUAGUCAAUUAGAACAAGGUAGCACAAGGGAAGUCGGCAAAAUCGAUCGGCAACUUCGGGAUAACGAUUGGCUCUAAGUGCUAGGGUGUUCGGGCUUGAUGAUAAAGCAGUAGACUUGCUAUUGGAGCUGAGCUUUCGGAUGCAGCAAUGUGUCUGAUCGUUCGGACUAGUGGCUUGUCUUGCUGUGGAAUCGUUUUGCUACGGUAUGCGGUUCGCUUGCGGGCCGUAUUACUUCGGGCAUCGUUUAAUAGCAAACUUAGAACUCGCUGCGUCUAGGGGAAUCCGACUGUCUAAUUAAAACAGAGCUUUGCGAUUGGCCGGAAAACUUGGUGUUGACGCAAAGUGAUUUCUGCCCAGUGCUCUGAAUGUUAACGUGAAGAAAUUCAAAUAAGCGCGGGUAAACGGCGGGAGUAACUAUGACUCUCUUCUGGUA